This 335-nucleotide unclassified non-coding RNA is filed under the name soil metagenome. Its description in RNAcentral is "partial contains 5.8S ribosomal RNA, internal transcribed spacer 2, and large subunit ribosomal RNA". The stretch from base 1 to 120 matches the Rfam family "5.8S ribosomal RNA", at positions 35 to 154 of the family's 154-position model. The record is from RNAcentral.
GAUGAAGAACGCAGCGAAAUGCGUUAAGUAAUGUGAAUUGCAGAAUUCAGUGAAUCAUCGAAUCUUUGAACGCACAUUGCGCCCGCCAGUAUUCUGGCGGGCAUGCCUGUUCGAGCGUCAUUUCAACCAUCAAGCCCCCGGCUUGUGUUGGGGACCUGCGGCUGCCGCAGGCCCUGAAAACCAGUGGCGGGCUCGCUAGUCACUCCGAGCGUAGUAAUACAUCUCGCUCAGGGCGUGCUGCGGGUUCCGGCCGUUAAAAAGCCUUAUUUACCCAAGGUUGACCUCGGAUCAGGUAGGAAGACCCGCUGAACUUAAGCAUAUCAAUAAGCGGAGGA